GGUGAACGCUGGCGGCGUGCCUAAUACAUGCAAGUCGAGCGAACAGAUGAGGAGCUUGCUCCUCUGACGUUAGCGGCUGACGGGUGAGUAACACGUGGAUAACCUACCUAUAAGACUGGGAUGACUUCGGGAAACCGGAGCUAAUACCGGAGAAUAUAUUGUACCGCUGGGUUCAAUAGUGAAAGGCGGUUUUCCUGUCUCUUAUAGAUGGUUCCGGGUCGCAUUAGCUAGUUGGUAAGGUAACGGCUUACCAAGGCAACGAUGCGUAGCCGACCUGAGAGGGUGAUCGGCCACACUGGAACUGAGACACGGUCCAGACUCCUACGGGAGGCAGCAGUAGGGAAUCUUCCGCAAUGGGCGCAAGCCUGACGGAGCAACGCCGCGUGAGUGAUGAAGGUCUUCGGAUCGUAAAACUCUGUUAUUAGGGAAGAACAAAUGUGUAAGUAACCAUGGACGUCUUGACGGUACCUAAUCAGAAAGCAACGGCUAACUUCGUG
This 497-nucleotide ribosomal RNA is filed under the name uncultured bacterium. RNAcentral's name for it is "partial 16S ribosomal RNA". It matches the Rfam family "Bacterial small subunit ribosomal RNA", at positions 28 to 507 of the family's 1533-position model. The record is from RNAcentral.